AAUGAAGGUUAUUUUAGGAUUUUUUUAAAACAGUAAAAUAACCAAAAUAUGCCAAAGUUGGUACUCAACUACCAAAGAAACCAAACCCAACAUCAUCCAAACGGAGUUGCCGUUCAACCCUGGCUAGAACAGUCAUAGUUUCUGCGCACGUCCGCCACACGUGCCGCUAGCAGCAGAGGUCCGUGAGCCGCACAUGCUGCCGGUUUCAUCCCAUUUGGCCCGAACAACGGUGGAAUACUGCCAGAAAAGCCUGAUUGAGACAAAUCUGGUUCCUUUCCGCACAAAAUCCGGCUUGAUCGCGAUUAUCCGACUUUUUUUUUUUUUUUUUUUUUUCACGCGGUUGCAUGUGUUCGGGAGAUUUGCCAUUUUGCGCCCUCUGUCGCUCCGAUCUGGCCGAUCCGUGUUUGGAGACGGGUCGAUUGAUCCUCUUGCACGCCAGGCUGCUCCGGUCGCGCGAUGAGUCGCGCUGCAUUGAUCGGACAAAGACCAUCCCUCGUGCUAGUUUGCUUUUCCGCGCACGGGAUGUCUGGUGUGGCCAUUCCGCGCACCAGAUCACUCCGACCUGGUCCGUCUGCACUUGAGUAGAGCUGUCCGUGUCCGAGCCGACGCUAAACCAAGCUGAGCAGAGUCAAGUCGAGCCGAGCCAUAUCUAGUUUUGGUUUUUUGGUCAUUUUUCUGAUUUUUUGGGUCCUUUUUUGUCUCUUUGGUGCAGAUAGGAGAUCCAGUUUUUAUUAUUGAAUAUUUUUUCUUCUUAUUUUUAGCACUCUAAGAUGACAAUAAAAAAUAUGAGUGUUAAUAGUUUUAGUAACCCUUCAUUACAAAUCAGUCUCGU
RNAcentral lists this long non-coding RNA (832 nucleotides) under Carica papaya (papaya). RNAcentral's name for it is "long non-coding RNA (CPAP_LNC003952)". The record is from RNAcentral. Lineage: Eukaryota; Viridiplantae; Streptophyta; Magnoliopsida; Brassicales; Caricaceae.